CCUUACCACGAUCAGUAUCAGCAGUAGCAGCAGCCUCAACCGAAGGCUCUGCAAAAGAUUCACAACUGGGCGUGAAAACUAUUGCAAAAAGAAGUAGUCCUCAGUGGGUACUGCUACCGACAUCAACGGCUCACCCACUAAGUCUACAGAAGGUAUGCUCAAAGAUAACAAAGGAAGCUGGAACAAAUCUACAGCUAUAUGCCACUAUACUAUCAUGAUCCGACACUACUAUCUGUAGAAUAAUGCGAUCUCUGACCCAAUCUCACUAGGGACUGUGAACACAGGUCCUAGGGACUGUGAAUACACCCGUCCCGCCUGUCGAAACUAUACAGCUACCUUCACACUAAGCAGUCCGUGGAGAGCAAGUCCAAUCAGGACACAUCGACACCAACGCAACAGCACUAAGCCCGACUCCGGAGUGGCACUCGUGGGCGCUACCCAACCGAGUAUGCAAACGUGUCUCUGUCGAGCUUAAUCAGGCUCUCACAGGCAAUAGUUAAGUCAACAGGGUCUAACAAUCAAACUCACGUACUCUCAGCACAAUCAGCUGCAAAAACAGCAAUCUAGGUCCACCGUCAACCUCAACGGCACUCGACAGUCUGGAACAGCCUAAACUUGAUGUUAAAAUAAGCUCGGCAUCCUAGCACGAGCGUAAAUAUAUUCUACACUAUCCUGGGUAUCCACCGCCCACAACUGCGAUGAUACAAACAAACUAUGGCUCCUAGAGCUAAAUCUGAUUGUUUUAAUAUAUGACGGUGUAGAAUCGACAGUUUUCUCCUAAGUCAAAUACAAGUCCAACAUGUAUUAUUUAACUAA
This 816-nucleotide long non-coding RNA is filed under the name Ananas comosus (pineapple). RNAcentral's name for it is "long non-coding RNA (ACOM_LNC030826)". The record is from RNAcentral. Lineage: Eukaryota; Viridiplantae; Streptophyta; Magnoliopsida; Poales; Bromeliaceae.